Molecule: ribosomal RNA, 152 nt
Filed under: Chryseobacterium sp.
Lineage: Bacteria; Pseudomonadati; Bacteroidota; Flavobacteriia; Flavobacteriales; Weeksellaceae
Description: partial 16S ribosomal RNA
Rfam family: Bacterial small subunit ribosomal RNA
Source: RNAcentral
UUGAAAACUCCGGUGGAUAGAGAUGGGCACGCGCAAGAUUAGAUAGUUGGUGAGGUAACGGCUCACCAAGUCUGUGAUCUUUAGGGGGCCUGAGAGGGUGAUCCCCCACACUGGUACUGAGACACGGACCAGACUCCUACGGGAGGCAGCAG